AACGAACGCUGGCGGCAGGCUUAACACAUGCAAGUCGAACGGGUGUAGCAAUACAUCAGUGGCAGACGGGUGAGUAACACGUGGGAACCUUCCUAGAGGUACGGAACAACUCAGGGAAACUUGAGCUAAUACCGUAUACGCUCUUGCGAGGAAAGAUUUAUCGCCUUUAGACGGGCCCGCGUCGGAUUAGCUAGUUGGUGGGGUAACGGCCUACCAAGGCGACGAUCCGUAGCUGAUCUGAGAGGAUGAUCAGCCACACUGGGACUGAGACACGGCCCAGACUCCUACGGGAGGCAGCAGUGGGGAAUCUUGGACAAUGGGCGCAAGCCUGAUCCAGCCAUGCCGCGUGAGUGAAGAAGGCCUUC
This 365-nucleotide ribosomal RNA is filed under the name uncultured bacterium. RNAcentral describes it as "bacterial SSU rRNA". It matches the Rfam family "Bacterial small subunit ribosomal RNA", at positions 29 to 419 of the family's 1533-position model. The record is from RNAcentral.